Molecule: ribosomal RNA, 253 nt
Filed under: uncultured bacterium
Lineage: Bacteria
Description: partial 16S ribosomal RNA
Rfam family: Bacterial small subunit ribosomal RNA
Source: RNAcentral
UACGUAGGGCGCAAGCGUUAUCCGGAAUUAUUGGGCGUAAAGAGCUCGUAGGCGGUUUGUCGCGUCUGCCGUGAAAGUCCGGGGCUCAACUCCGGAUCUGCGGUGGGUACGGGCAGACUAGAGUGAUGUAGGGGAGACUGGAAUUCCUGGUGUAGCGGUGAACUGCGCAGAUAUCAGGAGGAACACCGAUGGCGAAGGCAGGUCUCUGGGCAUUAACUGACGCUGAGGAGCGAAAGCAUGGGGAGCGAACAGG